GACGUAGGGUGCGAGCGUUGUCCGGAUUUAUUGGGCGUAAAGAGCUCGUAGGCGGCUCGUCGCGUCGACCGUGAAAACUUGGGGCUUAACCCUAAGCUUGCGGUUGAUACGGGCGGGCUAGAGUUCGGUAGGGGAGACUGGAAUUCUCGGUGUAGCGGUGAAAUGCGUAGAUAUCGAGAGGAACACCUGCGGCGAAGGCGGGUUGCUGGGCUGACACUGACGCUGAUGCGCGAAAGCGUGGGGAGCAAACAGG
This 253-nucleotide ribosomal RNA is filed under the name uncultured bacterium. RNAcentral describes it as "partial 16S ribosomal RNA". It matches the Rfam family "Bacterial small subunit ribosomal RNA", at positions 524 to 776 of the family's 1533-position model. The record is from RNAcentral.